AAGUCGUAACAAGGUUUCCGUAGGUGAACCUGCGGAAGGAUCAUUAACACAAUUUUACUGUGAUAAAAUCCGUUGAAUUCUCUCUCGAGAAUUCAAUGGUAUCCACCCCAUUAUUGACGAACUUUUCUUAGAUGUUUCAAAAAACAUAGAGGCUGCUUAGUCUUUACGUGUUUUGAAAACAUUCUAAAAACCUUUUUCUUUACCCUAUAACAUUUUUUAACCCCUUUUACAACAUGCCUUAGACUGAAAUGAAAAUUUCUUUAUUAUCAAAAAAUGAUAAAAAACAACUCUUAACAACGGAUAUCUUGGCUCUC
Molecule: unclassified non-coding RNA, 314 nt
Filed under: fungal sp.
Lineage: Eukaryota; Fungi
Description: partial internal transcribed spacer region
Rfam family: Eukaryotic small subunit ribosomal RNA (bases 1-46)
Source: RNAcentral